AGUGGGGACAAGCGUGCUUUGGCCUGGUUCGAGGCAAAUGUACAUAGUGUGAGUACGGCCUUACAUAGCCAAGCAGGGCUGCGCCAGGUCAGUACCUGGAUGGUAGACCACAUGGAAAAGCUAGGUUGCUGCCAUAA
Molecule: ribosomal RNA, 137 nt
Filed under: Danio rerio (zebrafish)
Lineage: Eukaryota; Metazoa; Chordata; Actinopteri; Cypriniformes; Danionidae
Source: RNAcentral